UACGUAGGGUGCAAGCGUUAAUCGGAAUUACUGGGCGUAAAGCGUGCGCAGGCGGUUGUGCAAGACAGAUGUGAAAUCCCCGGGCUUAACCUGGGAACUGCAUUUGUGACUGCACGGCUAGAGUGUGUCAGAGGGGGGUAGAAUUCCACGUGUAGCAGUGAAAUGCGUAGAUAUGUGGAGGAAUGCCGAUGGCGAAGGCAGCCCCCUGGGAUAACACUGACGCUCAUGCACGAAAGCGUGGGGAGCGAACAGG
RNAcentral lists this ribosomal RNA (253 nucleotides) under uncultured bacterium. RNAcentral describes it as "partial 16S ribosomal RNA". It matches the Rfam family "Bacterial small subunit ribosomal RNA", at positions 524 to 776 of the family's 1533-position model. The record is from RNAcentral.